This 80-nucleotide ribosomal RNA is filed under the name Pseudomonas sp. ABFPK. RNAcentral's name for it is "partial 16S ribosomal RNA". Lineage: Bacteria; Pseudomonadati; Pseudomonadota; Gammaproteobacteria; Pseudomonadales; Pseudomonadaceae. The record is from RNAcentral.
UGAGCCAAGUUUAGGGUUUCUUAAAAACCCAAGCAGUAUUGAACUGAAGAGUUUGAUCAUGGCUCAGAUUGAACGCUGGC